RNAcentral lists this ribosomal RNA (39 nucleotides) under Melanelia stygia. Its description in RNAcentral is "partial 23S ribosomal RNA". RNAcentral also lists the same sequence under 1 other name. The record is from RNAcentral. Lineage: Eukaryota; Fungi; Ascomycota; Lecanoromycetes; Lecanorales; Parmeliaceae.
UUGACCUCGGAUAGGUAGGGAUACCCGCUGAACUUAAGC